This 253-nucleotide ribosomal RNA is filed under the name uncultured bacterium. Its description in RNAcentral is "partial 16S ribosomal RNA". It matches the Rfam family "Bacterial small subunit ribosomal RNA", at positions 524 to 776 of the family's 1533-position model. The record is from RNAcentral.
UACGAAGGGGGCUAGCGUUGUUCGGAAUUACUGGGCGUAAAGGGCGCGUAGGCGGCGUGUCAAGUCAGGCGUGAAAGCCCCGGGCUCAACCUGGGAACCGCGCUUGAGACUGGCAUGCUCGAGUUCGGGAGAGGAUGGUGGAAUUCCCAGUGUAGAGGUGAAAUUCGUAGAUAUUCGGAAGAACACCAGUGGCGAAGGCGACUCACUGGCCCAUUACUGACGCUGAGGCGCGAAAGCGUGGGGAGCAAACAGA